This 348-nucleotide long non-coding RNA is filed under the name Gallus gallus (chicken). Its description in RNAcentral is "long non-coding RNA NONGGAT008890". Lineage: Eukaryota; Metazoa; Chordata; Aves; Galliformes; Phasianidae. The record is from RNAcentral.
CCCUUACCUAGUCCCUUUUGCUGGCAGAAGCUGAGGAAACUAACCAAAGCGUAGCAUCAUACCAGAUGCUAUGAAGGAAAAACAACUCUGUCCUAGUGGAAGACAGAGGCAUCUAGGUAGAGGUUGAUCGGUGAGAAGACAGUGGCAUUAUGUGAGACAGACAGAAACUAAGCGACACUUUAUCAACUGCAAGCAACCAAGCCUUUCAGAGUGCUCUGAACCAAUCCUUUGGCAAUAUGCAAACAAAUCAAUGUGCUAUUAAAAAUACCAUGGACAACAAUGGAGCAAGAAAUCUUUCUCAAGGUCUGACAUACUAGCAGUGCCACUGGGAAUGCUGUGGUGAUUGUG